Molecule: long non-coding RNA, 1432 nt
Organism: Anguilla anguilla (European eel)
Lineage: Eukaryota; Metazoa; Chordata; Actinopteri; Anguilliformes; Anguillidae
Exons: 2
Source: RefSeq, a predicted model, not a curated record
CCGUGUGUGAACUGUUUGAGUACACGUCUGGAGCACAGAGCAAAAUAUGUCUCUGUCCCAAACAUGGAGCUCACUGCGUGUAAACUAUAUAUAUUUUAAUGUAUUUUUAAAAUGUAUUAGACCAUUUAAAGUUCUGUAUGGGACACCCCCCCCCCCAAUACAGGGGAAUAAAUCACAUGAAGAAGAAACCAAAGAGAAACGAGUGUGAAGAUAUUUAGGAACAUUGGGUCUCAUUCACAAAACAUGCGUACGAUCACAUUUUGAUCGUAAACUGCAUGUAAGAACGUUUCUGAGAACAUUUCGACAUUCAUCAUUUUAGCUGUAUUUGUUCGUGGCUCUUUCCUUAUUCAUAUCACAUGAAUGGGAUUGCGCAUUGAAAAUUUACUAACAGCCAGCAUUCAGUAUUGUUUUUUAGUAGGAACGUUAUUAAGAACAAAAGUAAAAAUAAUUUUAGAAACGUUCUGUGAAUGAGGCCCAUUGUGUUUCCAAAAAAAGUGAUUAAUAAGACCUGCCACGUAGCCAUUUACCCCUUUGGUGGGAGGGAAAGUCAAAAAUAACUCAUUAACACUCAUUAACAACAAUAAACAGCGUGCAAGGGCCUUCUGACAAUUACGAUAUAGUUCUGACUGGCAGUAUCGUAUAAUGGAUAAGGAGCUGGUCUUGUAACCUAAUGGUUCGAUUCCUGAGUGGACCACGUUGCACCCUUGAGCAAGGUACUUAGCCUGCAUUGCUUCAGUAUAUAUAUCCAGCUGUAUAAAUGGAUGCAGUGUAAAUGCUCUAUAAAAGUUGUGUAAGUUGCUUGUGUCAUGGUUCUGUAUUCCUGUGUUCCUGUGUUUCCUUGUUGGGCCGACAGAUGGCGGCACUUCGGUUUUGUGUCCUGUUUAAUUGUAUUAUUAUUUUCAAUUAUCCAAUUAGUGUUUGCUGGUUGUCUCAUUUUCCCUUCCCUCUCUGUGGCCUGAUUGUUCAUGGUGCCCUCCUGUGUCUCGUCAGUGUCUGUUCUAUUUAAGUUUCCCUCUUCCUUGACUCAGGUGCUGGAUCCUUGUGGUUAUGUCUGGUUGUUUUGUGCUCCCCUACCCAAGUACCUGCUCCAAGUGUUCCUGUGUUUUGAAGUUUUCCUUUGUUUGUUGAAGGUCGUCCUGGGAGGCUUUGUGUUCCCUUUUGUUCCCGUGUGAGAGGAAAGGAGAUGCAAGACUUUGGCAGAACACUACAUUUCAGCCUGAGAAACAGAGUGACUAAACUCAUUUCUUUUUAUAGUUUACAUGGUCAAAAUACUAUUAUUACUAUUUUACUUUUAUUUGACUCUCUAAUUGUAGCUGUAUUAUAUUCUAUGCAUUACUUGUACUGUUACACUGCUUGUUUUUUGCAAGUUUCUUGUUUGCUUUGGCAAUAUUUACCACGUGCAUUUCCUGCCAAUGAAGCACAUUGAAAAGAA